UACGUAGGGGGCAAGCGUUGUCCGGAUUUAUUGGGCGUAAAGAGCGUGUAGGCGGCCAGACAGGUCAGCUGUGAAAACUCGAGGCUCAACCUCGAGAUGUCGGUUGAAACCGUCUGGCUAGAGUCCGGAAGAGGAGAGUGGAAUUCCUGGUGUAGCGGUGAAAUGCGCAGAUAUCAGGAAGAACACCCGUGGCGAAGGCGGCUCUCUGGGACGGUACUGACGCUGAGACGCGAAAGCGUGGGGAGCGAACAGG
Molecule: ribosomal RNA, 253 nt
Filed under: uncultured bacterium
Lineage: Bacteria
Description: partial 16S ribosomal RNA
Rfam family: Bacterial small subunit ribosomal RNA
Source: RNAcentral